GAACCAGGAGAUGUUCUUGGUGGU
RNAcentral lists this small nuclear RNA (24 nucleotides) under Arabidopsis thaliana (thale cress). RNAcentral describes it as "snRNA_11146". Lineage: Eukaryota; Viridiplantae; Streptophyta; Magnoliopsida; Brassicales; Brassicaceae. The record is from RNAcentral.